CACGCAAUAAACAGUUAUAAAAGGUAAUUGUUGAGAUCAGGGGAAGAUGGCAGAUAGGAGGCAGUGCUAAUGUGUAGCUCCCACAUGGAUGGACAAAACACCAUGUGGAGACUCACACUGUGACCCUGUUGUGCUCCAAGAACUAUCAUAGGAACAUACUGGGAAAACCAAAAGAAUUCACGGAUCCUUUGAAAGAAGACGCACACCACUGUAAAUUCUGUGGAACAGGAGAAAAACUGUCUUGGAGGAAGGCAUCCUUCUAUUCUACUGAUCAGAAAGCUGGACAAAGUCCCACUGCCAGGCUACACAGUUGGUGCCAUUUGCGGAGGCCCACCCGCAGCGGUCACGUGAAGGACCGAGCGCCGCGCGCCCAGGCGGGGCCUCCGGCCUGCACGAGGAGGGCAGAGUCCGUUGCGGCUGCCGCCCCGACGCCCGCGCAUCCCCGCUCGCCGCGCCCGCCGCCGCGAUGUCCGGGGCCGGCCUAGCCGCGGUGGUGAGCUGCCUGCGCCCGCAGCCCGGCGAGGAGCCGCAGACCCAUGAGGACCUUCUCCUGGCAGCUGCCUAUGUUUUGGAUGCCCAGUACAACAGAAAUGUUCCAUUUGAAACUCACCUCAGGCCAUCAGACGUUACUAUUUUUAUAACCACUAGACAACGCAGGUUGCCGCAUACUUCUUUA
Homo sapiens (human) is the source of this 676-nucleotide long non-coding RNA. The record is from Ensembl. Lineage: Eukaryota; Metazoa; Chordata; Mammalia; Primates; Hominidae.